UGCCAGCCGCCGCGGUAAUACAGAGGGUGCAAGCGUUAAUCGGAAUUACUGGGCGUAAAGGGCGCGUAGGUGGUUUAUCAAGUCGGAUGUGAAAGCCCCGGGCUCAACCUGGGAUGGACAUACGAUACUGGUAGACUCGAGUUUGGGAGAGGGAAGUGGAAUUUCCAAUGUAGCGGUGAAAUGCGUAGAUAUUGGAAGGAACAUCAGUGGCGAAGGCGACUUCCUGGCCCAAAACUGACACUGAGGCGCGAAAGCGUGGGUAGCAAACAGGAUUAGAUA
RNAcentral lists this ribosomal RNA (279 nucleotides) under uncultured bacterium. RNAcentral's name for it is "partial 16S ribosomal RNA". It matches the Rfam family "Bacterial small subunit ribosomal RNA", at positions 506 to 784 of the family's 1533-position model. The record is from RNAcentral.